GAAAAAGCUUGCUUUUUCGCUGACGACCGGCGCACGGGUGCGUAACGCGUAUGCAACCUACCUCUUACUGGGGAAUAGCCCGGAGAAAUUCGGAUUAAUGCCCCAUAGUAUUUUUGAAUCGCAUGAUUUAAAAAUUAAAGGUUACGGUAAGAGAUGGGCAUGCGUCCCAUUAGCUAGAUGGUAAGGUAACGGCUUACCAUGGCAACAAUGGGUAGGGGGCCUGAAAGGGUGAUCCCCCACACUGGUACUGAAACACGGACCAAACUCCUACGGGAGGCAGCAGUGAGGAAUAUUGGACAAUGGACGCAAGUCUGAUCCAGCCAUGCCGCGUGCAGGAAGACUGCCCUAUGGGUUGUAAACUGCUUUUAUUUGGGAAUAAACCCCUUUACGUGUAGAGGGCCAAAGGUACCAAAUGAAUAAGCACCGGCUAACUCCGUGCCAGCAGCCGCGGUAAUACGGAGGGUGCAAGCGUUAUCCGGAAUCAUUGGGUUUAAAGGGUCCGCAGGCGGACGUAUAAGUCAGUGGUGAAAGCCUACAGCUUAACUGUAGAACUGCCAUUGAUACUGUAUGUCUUGAAUUCAGUCGAAGUGGGCGGAAUGUGUCAUGUAACGGUGAAAUGCAUAGAUAUGACACAGAACACCGAUAGCGAAGGCAGCUCACUAGGCCUGAAUUGACGCUCAGGGACGAUAGCGUGGGGAGCGAACAGGAUUAGAUACCCUGGUAGUCCACGCCGUAAACGAUCAUUACUCGAUAUUGGCUAAACAUUGUCAGUGUCUAAGCGAAAGUGAUAAGUAAUGCACCCGGGGGGAGUACGAUCGCCAGGUUGAAACUCAAAGGAAUUGACGGGGGGCCCGCACAAGCGGUGGAGCAUGUGGUUUAAUU
RNAcentral lists this ribosomal RNA (882 nucleotides) under uncultured bacterium. Its description in RNAcentral is "bacterial SSU rRNA". It matches the Rfam family "Bacterial small subunit ribosomal RNA", at positions 72 to 951 of the family's 1533-position model. The record is from RNAcentral.